AAAUGUGUUACAAAUAGGAACCAUGCCAUCCAGUUAUAGUUAUUCCAAAAAUGAAAUCAGAGGAACUUCACCCUCUUCAUUCAUUUUAGAAUUGCUAGUCACUGUUCCCUGUACAGUCAUCAUUCUCAGAGCCUCCCGUGCAGGACCAUAUAGAUUGGUCUUAGGCAGGGGGUGAGAAUGGCGUCCCUGACCUGUUUUAUCCGGGGGUUUAUUUCGGUCAAUCUUAUCAUGUACCUUUUGAUCUAUUCUUUCUUUGAAAGGCCCAAAGGGGUAAGCAUGCCAUCCCUCAGUCAUCCUUUGAUCUAUCUUUGCCUUUCUACACUCACUCUGUCUAUGACCACUUCUGUUGCAGUAAUAACAAGUCCCUCUGAAUGGAAUCUCUGGGAGAGCUUGCCUCCCUUCAUUAGUAGCCAUAAUUGCAAUAUUGUGAUGUCCUGUGACACCUUUCCUAAUUAAAUUUUGUCUAGCUUUUCCUAUAAUAGUUAGAACUCCUUCCAGAGUGUCUUUUUCCUCUGCUAUCAUUUGCACUCCGGGAUCUAAAUAAGUGAUUUUUUUUAUCAGGU
Non-coding RNA from Pelobates cultripes (western spadefoot toad), 563 nucleotides. The record is from the annotation of a GenBank genome assembly. NCBI's taxonomy places the organism in Eukaryota, Metazoa, Chordata, Amphibia, Anura, Pelobatidae.